CGACCAGUGGUGGCGGCAGCCCCAGGUCCCGGGUCCCUCAGACAAAAAGGCGGGUGGAGGAGGAGUAGCCGAGCCCAGAGUCCUGCUCCGGCGCCGCCGAGCACCGCCCGCCUCAGCCGACCAGCCCCGUCGGCUACUGGGCCUAGCCUAGAGGAGAGGAGGGAAAGGCCGCGGAGGCCGCGAGGAGACGGCUGGGGCGCCAGCGGCCGGCUGCCGCCUAGUUGUGCUGCCCGGACCAAGGAAGGAGAAGUGGGAGGAGCGGGGAGCUCAGCGGCUCAGGACGACGACGCUCGCCACAUCCGGGACCCUCCGGCCGUGGCGGUCGCAGCGCCGGCAGCUCGGGCCUCAGCCCCUGCCUCUGUGGUGACUCCGCCGCGCUUCGACGUCGCCCCUGUCCCCGUCCCGCCCGCCGCCCCCGCCAACCCCGCCGCCGGGGACAUGUCCAACCCCUGAAGCCGGAGGAACGGGCCAGUCAGACUGCGCCCGACAGGUGAUGGGGAGCGGCGGCCGGGCUGGGCAGCCGCCGGGUGGGCGAGCUGGCGCGGGGUACCUGUUGACUUGGGAAGGGCCAGGAUCGCGAUCAAUGGUAUAUUGAAAAGUCUGAUUCAGUUACAAUCAGUGUAUGGAAUCACAAGAAGAUCCAUAAGAAACAAGGUGCUGGAUUUCUCCGUUGUGUUCGUCUUUUUCCAGUGCCAUCAACCACCUCAAAGACACUGGUUAUCAGAGGUUGGAUUUAUGCAAACUUGGGCCAAAGGACAGUUAGAAGACAGUAGCUGAAGAAGCAUCUGUAGGGAAUCCAGAAGGAGCAUUCAUGAAGAUGUUACAAGCCCGGAAGCAGCACAUGAGCACUGAGCUGACUAUUGAGUCGGAGGCGCCCUCAGACAGCAGUGGCAUCAACUUGUCAGGCUUUGGGAGUGAGCAGCUAGACACCAAUGACGAGAGUGAUGUGAUCAGCUUGAAAUUCAGCUAACCGAGCAGCUACGGUCCCUCAUCCCCAACGAGGAUGUGAGAAAGUUCAUGUCUCAUGUUAUCUGGACCUUGAAAAUGGAAUGUUCAGAAACACAUGUGCAAGGGAGCUGUGCCAAGCUCAUGUCGCGAACAGGCCUCCUGAUGAAGCUUCUCAGCGAGCAGCAGGAAGCAAAGGCAUUGAAUGUAGAAUGGGAUACGGACCAACAAAAAACAAAUUAUAUUAAUGAGAACAUGGAACAGAAUGAACAGAAAGAGCAGAAGUCAAGUGAGCUCAUGAAAGAAGUUCCAGGAUAUGACUAUAAGAACAAACUCAUCUUCGCAAUAUCUGUGACUGUCAUACUAAUAAUUUUGAUUAUAAUUUUUUGUUUUAUAGAGGUAAAGACAAUAAUUAAUUCAGGUUUUCAAAAUACAAUCCUGUGUUUGUGUGGAUUCAGAAUCCACAAACUGAAAACCAACGUCACUUUCCCACUUGACAUUCUUCUUCUGUCAUUUAAGGCUGAGGUGUGCUUUGUUCUUUUACUGCAAUGUAUAUUCCAGGAUUGUUAAAGGAUCCUCGCUUCCAGGAGGUCUCUGUGAAAUAAAACCAAGUUAAUCCCACUAGACUAUUUUAAGAAGUUAAGUUGAUAUAAUAGCAAAAUUUCUCCCACCCAAAACUAUGUCAACAAUUGGAUGUACUCACUGAGUCACCCCUUACUCUGCCACUAAUUUAUUUCCUUGUUGCUUAAAUGAUGAGAGACAUAUAAUCUCCACCCUCACGGAGUUGUCAUCACCCUGGAGAGGAAGAAGACAGCCAAAAGAGAGAAGUAUUGUCUUGUAGACUUACUAGAUUCACAUAGUAUCAUCCUUCUCCAGUGUGUAAGGUGUUGUCUAAAUAGGUCCAGUUAAAGAACUACAGGGUAGCCAUUUUUAAAAAAAAAUUUUGGCCACGUUUUCAAAUUCACAGGGGAGGGGGAAUGUCUCAUACUCCAGCCCUCCUGAGCCUAGGCCCUCUGUGAGAUGUGUCACCAUUUCUUGGACACCAUAUGAGACAUUCCCCCUCGGAUUAGAGAUGCUCAACCUGCAUCAACAAAUCUAAAGCCUGCAUCUGGCUACCCUGGGGCGAGUCCUGUUUACAGUGCCUAUUCCUGGAGCUCGCCUCUUUUUGCCUUUUGUUUGAUUAUGUGAUGUAUUACUUUUCCCAGCAGGCCAGUGCUAGCAUACUGGAAGAGGGAUUUAAUAAGCUGGCACCCUUGAUGCUAUGCUCCUAAUCCAACCUUAUUUGCCUCAUUGGCCAUUUCCAUUAUGGUGGCAGCCCUCCAUUCCAGCCACAGCAGCCCCUCAGCGUCCCCCAGUCACACUGUCCCCAUUGCUGCUCAUCUGUGCCUUUGUCCAUCUACAAUGCCCUUAUUUCACUCUGCCUGUGGGAGUCCUGUGAAUCUCUCCAAAGCCAACUCAGUUCAUCUUUCUGCUUGAAACCUUCCCUGAAUAGGCCAGGUGCGGUGGCUCACGCCUGUAAUCCCAGCACUUUGGGAGGCCAAGGCAGGCGGAUCACAAGGUCAGGAGAUCGAGACCAUCCUGGCUAACACAGACCAUUCUCUACUAAAAAUGCAAAAAAUUAGCUGGGUGUGGUGGCGGGCGUGUGUCGUCCCAGCUACUUGUGAGGCUGAAGCAGGAAAAUGGCAUGAACCUGGGAGGUGGAGCAUGCAGCCAGCCAAGAUCGGGCCGCUGCACUCCAGCCUGGGGGACAGAGCGAGACUCUGCCUCAAAAAAAAAAAAAAAAAGAAACUUCCCUGAAUAUUCCAGCCCUCCUGAGCCUAGUCCCUUUGUGAGAUUUGUCCCCAUUUCUUGGACACCAUAUAAGAGACUUCAGAGGCUGAAGUGGGAGGAUUGCUUGAGCCUGGGAGGUCGAGGAUGCAGUGAGCUGUGGUCAUACCACUGCACUCUAGCCUGGGCAACAGAGCGAGACCUUGUCUCAAAAACAGCCACCACCAAAAACUAUCUUGGGAUUUGAAUAGGAUUACCUUAAAUUUGUAGAUUAAUUUGAGAAUUGACAUCUGUACGACAUUCUAGAACAUGGUAUUUCAUGUCAUGUAUUCAUUUCUUGUUAAUGUCUUUCAGAAGAGUUUUAGGGUUUCCAUCAUAUAGAUCUUACACGUCUUUUGUUAGAUAACAGAUCUUUGUAUUUUUGUUCCUAAAUACUUCAGACAUUUGUAUUGCCAUUGUAAAUGGGAUCUUUCUUCCAUUUUCUAGUUAGUUAUUGGUGGUACAUCUGAAAAGCAUUUGAGGUUUGUGUGCUGCUCUCUUGAUUUUGUUUCUAGCCACCGUACUGAAUUCUCAUAUUACUUCCAGUAAAAUCUUAGUUGAUUCUCUUAGGCUUCUUUGGCUAACAUUUAUUAUUUUAUAUGCAAAUAAUUAUAGUUUUGUCUCUUCCUUUUCAAUACUUACACUCUUUCCUUCCUUUCCUUUCUUUUUUUUUUCUUUCUCAGGGCCUUGUUGUCACCCAGACUGGAGAGCAAUGGUGUGAUCUAGCUCACUGUAACCUCAAACUCCUGGGCUUAAGGGAUCCUCCUGCCUCAGCUUCCUGAGUGGCUGGGACUACAGGCAGGCAGUGAAUUUUAAAACUUUUGGUGUAGAGACAAGAUCUUGCUAUGUUGCCCAGGCUGGUUUUCCUGCCACUUUAGAGCAGGUUUCCUUUUUUUCAUACUUUUAAGAGGUUUUUAUUAGGAAUUGUCCAUUGAAUGUUAGCUAAAACAGUCAAUAAAAUGCGUUAAGUACCAGCUACAUGCAAGACCCUAAGUUAGAUACAGUCAGCCCUCUUCAUCAGCAGGUCCACAUCUUCAGAUUCAACUAGAUAAGGCUGAAUAUUUGAAGAAAAAAACAAUAAAAAUACAAUUAGAAAGUACAGUAUAACAACUGUUGCCAUGAUACAAUAUCUAUACAUUUUAUUAGUGAUGACCUAAAGUUCAUGGGACCAGGCACGGUGACUCACACUUGUAAUCCCAACACUUUGGGAGGCCAACCUGGGCAGCAUAGUGAGACCUUGUCUUUAAUAAAAAUAAAAAUAAAAAAAUUAGCUAGUGUGGUGGUAUGCACCUGUAGUCCCAGCUACUCAAGAGGCUGAGGUGGGCAGAUCACUGGAGCCCAGGAGGUUGCGGCUGCUGUGAGCUGUGAUUGUGACACUGCUCUCCAGCCUGAGUGACAGAGGGUGAUCCUGUCUCUAAGUAAGUAAAUAAAUAAAGUAUAUGGGGGGGAUGUGUGUUGGUUAUAUGCAAACACUGCACCAUUAUACGUAAGGGAUUGAGCAUCCACAGAUUCUGGUAUGGUGUGGAGGCGAUAUCCUAGAACCAGUCGUCUGCAAGGUAGCAAGGAUGACUGAACUGUGGAAGAAUCAAAGCACUGUUAAACAGCAUACAAUUCCUGUCUUCAAAAAAGUUAUCUCAUCGGGUAGAUGAGACUUAAAAUGAAUAAAAGGAAUGAAUACACAUUGGAGAUAGUGGUUGUUGUGAUAGAUAACCUUAAUUGUGUUUUCUUCCAAAACGGGUGAAUUCACAUAAAAGGGCAUCAGAAAAAUACAAAGACAACCCAUCAAUAUCAGGAGCCUGAGCAUGAGUUAAAGCAUGUGGAUGGCCUAGAGCCAUGUUUUUAAAAUUGUUAUUAAAUAUUGGUUUUUUACUUAAAUCAAUGAAAACUUUCUUUACUUUGUGGUUGUGUUCCUCAAAAUGAGAAUUUUUAACAAUAAUAAAAAUAAAGCUUAUUAGAUCAUUUUUAAUGGUAAUAAAUUGGUUACUGAAGAUUUGACUAAAGAGAAAACUAGGCCAAUCUAAGUAGAGUCCAAAUGAAGUAGAAAGUCCAU
RNAcentral lists this long non-coding RNA (4801 nucleotides) under Homo sapiens (human). RNAcentral's name for it is "non-protein coding lnc-RNF135-1:23". The record is from RNAcentral. Lineage: Eukaryota; Metazoa; Chordata; Mammalia; Primates; Hominidae.